Molecule: ribosomal RNA, 1109 nt
Filed under: uncultured Thermococcales archaeon
Lineage: Archaea; Methanobacteriati; Methanobacteriota; Thermococci; Thermococcales
Description: bacterial SSU rRNA
Rfam family: Archaeal small subunit ribosomal RNA
Source: RNAcentral
UCCGGUUGAUCCCUGCCGGAGGCCACUGCUAUGGGGGUCCGACUAAGCCAUGCGAGUCAUGGGGCGCGCUCUGCGCGCACCGGCGGACGGCUCAGUAACACGUCGGUAACCUACCCUCGGGAGGGGGAUAACCCCGGGAAACUGGGGCUAAUCCCCCAUAGGCCUGAGGUACUGGAAGGUCCUCAGGCCGAAAGGGGCAUCUGCCCGCCCGAGGAUGGGCCGGCGGCCGAUUAGGUAGUUGGUGGGGUAACGGCCCACCAAGCCGAAGGUCGGUACGGGCCAUGAGAGUGGGAGCCCGGAGAUGGACACUGAGACACGGGUCCAGGCCCUACGGGGCGCAGCAGGCGCGAAACCUCCGCAAUGCGGGCAACCGCGACGGGGGGACCCCCAGUGCCGUGGCAUAGCCACGGCUUUUCCGGAGUGUAAAAAGCUCCGGGAAUAAGGGCUGGGCAAGGCCGGUGGCAGCCGCCGCGGUAAUACCGGCGGCCCGAGUGGUGGCCGCUAUUAUUGGGCCUAAAGCGUCCGUAGCCGGGCCCGUAAGUCCCUGGCGAAAUCCCACGGCUCAACCGUGGGGCUUGCUGGGGAUACUGCGGGCCUUGGGACCGGGAGAGGCCGGGGGUACCCCUGGGGUAGGGGUGAAAUCCUAUAAUCCCAGGGGGACCGCCAGUGGCGAAGGCGCCCGGCUGGAACGGGUCCGACGGUGAGGGACGAAGGCCAGGGGAGCGAACCGGAUUAGAUACCCGGGUAGUCCUGGCUGUAAAGGAUGCGGGCUAGGUGUCGGGCGAGCUUCGAGCUCGCCCGGUGCCGGAGGGAAGCCGUUAAGCCCGCCGCCUGGGGAGUACGGCCGCAAGGCUGAAACUUAAAGGAAUUGGCGGGGGAGCACUACAAGGGGUGGAGCGUGCGGUUUAAUUGGAUUCAACGCCGGGAACCUCACCGGGGGCGACGGCAGGAUGAAGGCCAGGCUGAAGGUCUUGCCGGACACGCCGAGAGGAGGUGCAUGGCCGCCGUCAGCUCGUACCGUGAGGCGUCCACUUAAGUGUGGUAACGAGCGAGACCCGCGCCCCCAGUUGCCAGUCCUCCCCGCUGGGGAGGAGGCACUCUGGGGGGAC